GUGUUGUAGGAAAGGAGAGAAGGUUGGCACUCCCCUUGACAAGGAUGGAAGAGGCUCUCGGGCCUGUACAACAUGCAUAAGGUUAAAAAAAAAAAAAAAAGAAUAAUGGCAUUAUUUU
RNAcentral lists this non-coding RNA (118 nucleotides) under Propithecus coquereli (Coquerel's sifaka). Lineage: Eukaryota; Metazoa; Chordata; Mammalia; Primates; Indriidae. The record is from RNAcentral.